RNAcentral lists this small nuclear RNA (278 nucleotides) under Ursus maritimus (polar bear). RNAcentral's name for it is "7SK RNA (ENSUMAG00000003185.1)". It matches the Rfam family "7SK RNA", at positions 1 to 287 of the family's 331-position model. From Rfam's summary of the family: 7SK was discovered as an abundant small nuclear RNA in the mid-70s but a possible function has only recently been suggested. Two independent studies have found that 7SK RNA binds the CDK9/cyclin T complex (known as elongation factor P-TEFb). P-TEFb activates transcription by phosphorylating the C-terminal domain of RNA polymerase II. Lineage: Eukaryota; Metazoa; Chordata; Mammalia; Carnivora; Ursidae. The record is from RNAcentral.
GGAUGUGAGGGCGAUCUGGCUGCGACAUCUGUCACCCCAUUGAUCACCAGGGUUGAUUCGGCGGAUCUGGCUGGCUAGGCGGGUGUCCCCUUCCUCCCUCUCCGCUCCAUGUGCGUCCCUCCCGAAGCUGCGCGCUCGGUCGAAGAGGACGACCUUCCCCGAUAGAGGAGGGCCGUUCUUCGGUCAAGGGUAUACGAGUAGCUGCGCUCCCCUGCUAGAACCUCCAAACAAGCUCUCAAGAAUAAAUAGAUAAAUAAAUAUAUCUUAAAUAUUUGCUC